AAGACUAUACUUUCAGGGAUCAUUUCUAUAGUUUCUGACUUGAGAAAUGUGUUUCUAAAGUGUUUGGUCUCGCCAACCAUGAAGAACAGUCAUGAUAUUCCCUUCUGAGCUUCUUCCUUAUGUCUUCUGAA
Molecule: small nucleolar RNA, 131 nt
Filed under: Sparus aurata (gilthead seabream)
Lineage: Eukaryota; Metazoa; Chordata; Actinopteri; Spariformes; Sparidae
Description: Small nucleolar RNA U3 (ENSSAUG00010003010.1)
Rfam family: Small nucleolar RNA U3
About the family: Small nucleolar RNAs (snoRNAs) are involved in the processing and modification of rRNA in the nucleolus.
Source: Rfam by way of RNAcentral